This 250-nucleotide ribosomal RNA is filed under the name uncultured prokaryote. Its description in RNAcentral is "partial 16S ribosomal RNA". It matches the Rfam family "Bacterial small subunit ribosomal RNA", at positions 524 to 773 of the family's 1533-position model. The record is from RNAcentral.
UACGUAGGGGGCGAGCGUUGUCCUGAAUGAUUGGGCGUAAAGGGCGCGUAGGCGGCCCGGUAAGUCUGAAGUGAAAGUCCUGUUUUUAAGAUGGGAAUUGCUUUGGAUACUGUCGGGCUUGAGUGCAGGAGAGGUAAGUGGAAUUCCCAGUAUAGCGGUGAAAUGCGCAGAGAUUGGGAGGAACACCAGUGGCGAAGGCUACUUACUGGACUGUAACUGACGCUGAGGCGCGAAAGAGUGGGGAGCAAAC